CCGUAACUCGACGUUUGUAGGAGAGAGCGUGACGAGGAAAGGAGAGGGGCACCGAAUUGCUCGUGCUCGGGCAACACACUUUGUGCUAUCGUUCGUCUGUGUAAAUUGAGUUAGCGGUUCACAGCUGACAACAACAAUUGCAUACACAAAAAUCGUCGUGUAAAUGAUGAUGAUACACGGAAACUUUUGUCGACGCGAUUUUUCACAUUCCCUUUUGGUGUUGCUCAUUUCAUUUACACACGGCGAUUUUUGUUGCCGUAACUCGACGUUUGUUGGAGAGAGCGCGACGAGGAAAGGAGAGGGGCACCGAGUUGCUCGUGCUCGGGCAACACGCUUUGUGCUCUCGUUCUUCUCAAUAUCGUUAAGUUGGCUGGAAAUUAGUUUGACGUUUCUCUUCAUUUCUUUUCUUCAUUGAUUUCAUCUUCAAUCAAUAUAAAGCGUGGAAUUUAACCAUUACAAAAUAAAGAUGGAAUACCACCAAAAAGUCGAUUUACUGAAAAAUGUUUUUGAGUGCGUUGCGGAAGCCGUAGAAAUGGAUUCGGAAGAUAGCGAUAAGGCUGACGCCCUAACAGGACUAGUUGGUAUGUGCCAAAAAAUAAUAUCUACGCCAGUACCAAAGAAACGAAAGGCGAUGUGGGUAAAGGUAUGGAGGGAAAAAA
Rhagoletis pomonella (apple maggot) is the source of this 659-nucleotide long non-coding RNA. RefSeq lists it as uncharacterized. The transcript has 3 exons. The record is from RefSeq and is a predicted model, not a curated record. Lineage: Eukaryota; Metazoa; Arthropoda; Insecta; Diptera; Tephritidae.